RNAcentral lists this long non-coding RNA (1161 nucleotides) under Capra hircus (goat). Its description in RNAcentral is "lncRNA (ENSCHIG00010010562.1)". The record is from RNAcentral. Lineage: Eukaryota; Metazoa; Chordata; Mammalia; Artiodactyla; Bovidae.
GUGGGCGGUGUGCGGGUGUGGAUGGUGUGCGGGUGUGGAUGGUGUGCUUCUCAGUGUGUGCGAGACGGGGUGAGGCCCCGGCCUCCUGCGAGUGAGCAGAGCAGCUGACAGCUGGCGGAUUAAAUAAGCUGAUUGGCGAGGUCUGGAUCCAGGGCUUAGGACCUGCCCUGUGGAAACCUCCUGGAUCCAGAACUCAGAACAGCUGGUUCCCUUAGGAAAAUCUGGGUGCCAUUCCCAGAAGGGGUUGGGGAAUCUAUACACCAAAACAACCAACAACCAGGGCAGGAUUUGUGCACAUCUUGGACAUGAGGCAUCCCCCAGCCAACCUCUUUCCCCAGAGACAGUAAGCUUGUGCCUGUUCAAUGUCCCCCAUGAACUUGAUGAAGAUCCGGGUGCAGAUGCCCUCUGAGGAUGCAAGGCAUGGGCUGGAGGUGCUCCGUCUACACUGGCCUCAGCUCAGUCCUGGUCCAGAUGUCACGGACACCUCUCCUGCAGAGGGGACCACACAGGCACUGCAUUGAAUAAACACCGUCUUCCUUGGCCUGGGACUCUGGCGGGAGCACAUUCCUCUGUCCCACUUUGGCACACGUGGUCCCCUUGCAUUGGCCAAGGAUGUCCGCCCACCCGUCGCCUCCUGUUCCCUCUCCCCUUAUCAGCUGAAGAUGAACUUCGUGGAGCUCUCCUGUCAAACGAUGCACAAACUAUUCCCUUGUAGGGCAAAGACUUGUGGUUCUUUGCAACAAUAUUUCAUAAUUUAUAUAUUUGAUUAAAAACCGGAACCUGUGCCAGCAGUCCGCAUGGUCUAGCAUAUUGGGAUCAUUAGCUGCUUGUGUCACUCUUCUAUUUUAAAACUUUCCAUAUUUGAGCUUGUGGAUGUGCAUCCUUCACAUUUAUUAAACUUUUCCCAUAAAAACAGCUUAGUAAGUCUCCAUCAUCUUUCAUGGAAGAAAAGAAAAAUAAAAAGGUCCCAAUAAAACCCUGCAGACAUUUCCUUUAGGGAAUACCAUUUUAUUUGGCCNNNNNNNNNNNNNNNNNNNNNNNNNNNNNNNNNNNNNNNNAAUACCAGGACAAAUGAGAGUUUUAGUAGCACGAUAAUUGCUUCAAGAUGAGCUCUGUGACUUGGCUUCCUCCCUGGCCCUUUGCUGUACGCCUCCCAGGAGU